CAGCAGCCACGGUAAUACGGAGGGAGCUAGCGUUGUUCGGAAUCACCGGGCGUAAAGCGCACGUAGGCGGCUAUUCAAGUCAGGGGUGAAAGCCCGGGGCUCAACCCCGGAACUGCCUCUGAAACUAGAUAGCUUGAAUCUUGGAGAGGCGAGUGGAAUUCCGAGUGUAGAGGUGAAAUUCGUAGAUAUUGGGAAGAACACCGGUGGCGAAGGCGGCAACCUGGUCCAUGACUGACGCUGAGGCGCGAAAGCGUGGGGAGCAAACAGGAUUAGAUACCCGCGUAGUCCCUGUCUCUUAUAC
Molecule: ribosomal RNA, 301 nt
Filed under: uncultured bacterium
Lineage: Bacteria
Description: partial 16S ribosomal RNA
Rfam family: Bacterial small subunit ribosomal RNA
Source: RNAcentral